CAAAAACCGUUGAUCGAGCAUAGUAGCUAACCCCCCGUGUAAAGAGAGGAAAUGCCUUGGCUGAGAGCAUUUCUACAAUGUGACUUAGUGAAUGAACACUCAGGAGGUUUCUCUCUGAAAACGAUUUGUUACUAGGAGAUGAACGUACCAGGCGUUAACUGGCUAAGUGGAGGUCUUUCAUAGACUUCAAUUAGGGUGGCACCACGGGAAUAACAGCUCUCGUCCCUUGU
This 230-nucleotide non-coding RNA is filed under the name Rossellomorea vietnamensis. RNAcentral describes it as "Bacillus vietnamensis T-box sequence". It matches the Rfam family "T-box leader". Rfam says of the family: Uncharged tRNA acts as the effector for transcription antitermination of genes in the T-box leader family. Lineage: Bacteria; Bacillati; Bacillota; Bacilli; Caryophanales; Bacillaceae. The record is from RNAcentral.